Molecule: transfer RNA, 65 nt
Filed under: Streptococcus timonensis
Lineage: Bacteria; Bacillati; Bacillota; Bacilli; Lactobacillales; Streptococcaceae
Also listed under: 1 other name
Rfam family: tRNA
About the family: Transfer RNA (tRNA) molecules are approximately 80 nucleotides in length.
Source: RNAcentral
CUUUAGCUAAGUUGGUAGAGCAGUAGACUCUUAAUCUAUGGGGCGCAGGUUCGAGCCCUUGUAGG